GAAUGAGGUGAUGAAUAUUACAACAUGUUGAUGGCUGAUAUGAUGGCAUUUUAUCAUGUAUUAGCUCUAGCUGAUCAUCC
Small nucleolar RNA from Ipomoea nil (Japanese morning glory), 80 nucleotides. It matches the Rfam family "Small nucleolar RNA Z102/R77". From Rfam's summary of the family: Z102 and R77 and are members of the C/D class of snoRNA which contain the C (UGAUGA) and D (CUGA) box motifs. Most of the members of the box C/D family function in directing site-specific 2'-O-methylation of substrate RNAs. Lineage: Eukaryota; Viridiplantae; Streptophyta; Magnoliopsida; Solanales; Convolvulaceae. The record is from Rfam.